RNAcentral lists this ribosomal RNA (253 nucleotides) under uncultured bacterium. RNAcentral describes it as "partial 16S ribosomal RNA". It matches the Rfam family "Bacterial small subunit ribosomal RNA", at positions 524 to 776 of the family's 1533-position model. The record is from RNAcentral.
GACGUAGGGGGCGAGCGUUGUCCGGAUUCAUUGGGCGUAAAGCGCGCGUAGGCGGCCCGGUAAGUCGGAUGUGAAAUCUCACGGCUCAACCGUGGAACUGCAUUCGAAACUGUCGGGCUAGAGGCAGGUAGGGGAGAUCGGAAUUCCCGGUGUAGCGGUGAAAUGCGCAGAUAUCGGGAGGAACACCGGUGGCGAAGGCGGUUCUCUGGGCCUUACCUGACGCUGAGGAGCGAAAGCGUGGGGAGCGAACAGG